Long non-coding RNA from Helianthus annuus (common sunflower), 222 nucleotides. RefSeq lists it as uncharacterized. The record is from RefSeq and is a predicted model, not a curated record. Lineage: Eukaryota; Viridiplantae; Streptophyta; Magnoliopsida; Asterales; Asteraceae. The transcript has 2 exons.
AUUUACAGGAGCCAAGAAAAGGGCUCUUACAAAGCCCUAAAACUCACAAGAAAUCCAACAAAAAUCGAAGAUAGAACAAGCUAAAAAUUGGGUCUUUUAAAAAAUUUGUGAUCACCCAAGCUAGGAGAUUGCAAGUUUGACUCUGACAAGCUAGGUAGGAGCUUGGAAAUGAACGGGUCAAAUGGAUACAAGUUCAAGUAUGAAGCUCGCAAGGAUGCAAGG